CCCGUCCUGUUCGGGCCAAGCCCAGCGGAGUCUGACUCAGGAGAACCGAGAUUCGACUGGGGUGAUUCACCUGUUUAGGGGGCGGGGUCCCGGUGAGCACCUGUUCUCUCUCGCCCCUCUCGCGGCCGGCUAUGGACCCGCCUAGAUACACCGUGCAGGGCGGGGAGAGUCACAGCGAACUUGGGCCCGGGAGAGGCUUCUUGGUAGCGUCUGACUAGUGAUUGUCUGACUAGUGAUCGAACCCACAACUUGGUGUUUGGAGACGAGUCUCUAACCAACUGAUCUACCCCCCCAGGGGCAGGGCUUUCUCUUGGACUACUUGAAGAACCAAGUGACGUUCCCGGAAGGGAAGCGUUUCUCCCUUUGUGGUGCCCAAGGGGAAUCAGGCCCAGGAAAACUUGGAAUUGUACUUCGGACGUUUUCUCUGCCUACGCCGCUUCUCUUCUCGUGUUUUGGCCUCUGGGCGUCUCUAGCCCUAGGUCAGGCCUCCGGAAACCCUUGCUCUUGAAGGGGCCGAGCGGAAGCGCAGGACUAAAGACAGGUUUUCGGGUUUUCAGCUAAGAUUCCCAAGAGAGAAGGGAGGGAGAAAGGGAGAGAAACAUGAUGUGAGAAACAAGGAUGGGUGGCCUCUCCUGCGCCUCUACCGGGGAGCAACCGCAUCCAGGCUUGUGACCUGACUGAUAAUGGAACUGGUGACCUUUCAGUUUGCAGGAUGGCACCCAAUCGACUGAGCUACCCAAGUCAGGACUAUUUUAACCAUUUGUGUGACAUACAUCACAUAUGGCCUUUCUGUGACUGCGAUGAACCAAGACAAAAACAGAAUUACUGUAUAAUCAUGUCUGAACACAGAUGAAAACAGGAACAUUGUCUAAGCCACAAAAUACCAAAUGACUCCUCCCCCAGAUAAUAUGAGUGACAGCUGCUCUAACUUUACUGCAUUCUUCUCAUCUUCUAGAUAAUAUAGAAUUACUCCCACUUCCUGAGAGCUCUCAAUCCAAAGGAAAUCCCCCUUAUUGGCACCUUCCCCUAUAUCACAUAACAUAAGCCCCAAUUCUCUGAGUCUUUUCUAACACCUUUUUACUGAAACAUUGCCCUAUUCCCCAUGUUGUCCAUCUUCCCGAACUGCAUUUGGUCAUUAAAAUCAACUUUG
Molecule: long non-coding RNA, 1150 nt
Organism: Phyllostomus hastatus (greater spear-nosed bat)
Lineage: Eukaryota; Metazoa; Chordata; Mammalia; Chiroptera; Phyllostomidae
Exons: 3
Source: RefSeq, a predicted model, not a curated record